AAUGCGUGUGAUGAUUACUUACACUUUUAAUGAUUUAUAUUGAUUACUAAUUACAUGCACUACCAACUGAAGCAUU
Non-coding RNA from Cinara cedri, 76 nucleotides. The record is from the annotation of a GenBank genome assembly. NCBI's taxonomy places the organism in Eukaryota, Metazoa, Arthropoda, Insecta, Hemiptera, Aphididae.